UCCGGUUUGUCACCGGCAGUCUCCCUAGAGUUCCCACCCAAAGUGCUGGCAACUAGGGACAAGGGUUGCGCUCGUUACGGGACUUAACCCAACAUCUCACGACACGAGCUGACGACAGCCAUGCAGCACCUGUCACUCGGUUCCCGAAGGCACCAAUCCAUCUCUGGAAAGUUCCGAGGAUGUCAAGCCCUGGUAAGGUUCUUCGCGUUGCGUCGAAUUAAACCACAUGCUCCACCGCUUGUGCGGGCCCCCGUCAAUUCAUUUGAGUUUUAACCUUGCGGCCGUACUCCCCAGGCGGUCAACUUAGUGCGUUAGCUGCGCCACUAAGGAUUCAAGAUCCCCAACGGCUAGUUGACAUCGUUUACGGCGUGGACUAC
RNAcentral lists this unclassified non-coding RNA (377 nucleotides) under uncultured Gammaproteobacteria bacterium. RNAcentral describes it as "contains 16S-23S intergenic spacer region". The record is from RNAcentral. Lineage: Bacteria; Pseudomonadati; Pseudomonadota; Gammaproteobacteria.